RNAcentral lists this ribosomal RNA (279 nucleotides) under uncultured bacterium. RNAcentral describes it as "partial 16S ribosomal RNA". It matches the Rfam family "Bacterial small subunit ribosomal RNA", at positions 506 to 784 of the family's 1533-position model. The record is from RNAcentral.
UGCCAGCCGCCGCGGUAAUACGGAAGGUGCAAGCGUUAAUCGGAAUCACUGGGCGUAAAGCGCGCGUAGGCGGUUAGAUAAGUUGGGUGUGAAAGCCCCGGGCUCAACCUGGGAACUGCAUUCGAUACUGUCUGACUAGAGUGUGAUAGAGGGAGGCGGAAUUCCGCAUGUAGCGGUGAAAUGCGUAGAGAUGCGGAGGAACACCAAUGGCGAAGGCAGCCUCCUGGAUUAACACUGACGCUGAGGCGCGAAAGCGUGGGGAGCAAACAGGAUUAGAUA